RNAcentral lists this long non-coding RNA (579 nucleotides) under Rosa chinensis. RNAcentral's name for it is "sRNA RchiOBHm_Chr3g0465851". Lineage: Eukaryota; Viridiplantae; Streptophyta; Magnoliopsida; Rosales; Rosaceae. The record is from RNAcentral.
GUGUGUUGAGACAGGCAGGAGAGCUGCUGUUUCUGGUGUUUGAGGUUUCACAUGCUACUAUAAUUGUUGCUGCAAUUGAUUUAUUUGUUGUAAGAAAUCGGUCUGCAAGGUGUGAAGAAAAGGAGAAGCUUGAAUCUGUAAAUCAAGGAAAAUUUGGGUAUAGCAAGAAGGAAGAUCUGGAAUUACCAUUGUUUUUUAUUUGUCUGCUUAUUCGUCAGAAACCAAACACAAUUAGAUAUCGGGAACAGCAAGCUAUCAAAGUUUACAAGUAUUUUGAAUUCAGGAAAAUUUGGGUACAGCAAGAAGGAAACUGGGAAAAGAGAUGAAAUAGGCAAUUGUUUUGAGCAGGAGAUGAAUGACAACCAAAAAGAUGAAGUCAUUUGCGAGGGAAGCAAACACAUGAAGUGGUCUGCCAGUGAUAUGUUACAGGCUUCAUGUCACCAUUGAAGAUCCAAACAGUGAAGCCACAAUAAAACUUAGAGGAAAACAAGCUGAACAGUUAUUCGGAAUAACUUGCAAAGAACUCUUGAACAAGUGCCCCUAUGCACCACAAGAAACAUUGCCACCAGAGAUAUUACA